RNAcentral lists this ribosomal RNA (765 nucleotides) under Triticum aestivum (bread wheat). RNAcentral's name for it is "partial small subunit ribosomal RNA". Lineage: Eukaryota; Viridiplantae; Streptophyta; Magnoliopsida; Poales; Poaceae. The record is from RNAcentral.
AUGGGGAUGCGGCCUGGGUGGGUUGGCGGCCUGGUGGAGGAGACCUUCUUCGUGGCGUGCUCGGCGCACGAGAGCCGCAAGAAGAACGAGAAGAACAUCUUCUGCCUCGCCUGCCGCACCAGCAUCUGCCCGCACUGCGCCCCCGCCCACCGCCACCACCCGCUCAUCCAGGUGCGGAGGUACGUGUACAACGACGUGGUGCGCCUGGACGAUCUUGAGAGGCUCAUCGACUGCUCCUUUGUUCAGCCCUACACCAUCAACAGCGCAAAGGUGAUAUUUCUCAAACCCAGGCCUCAGUCCAGGCCUUUCAAGGGCUCCGGCAACGUCUGCUUGACCUGCGACAGGAUCCUCCAGGAGCCCUUCCACUUCUGCUGCCUCUCUUGCAAGGUGGAUCAUGUCAUGAUGCAGGGCGGCGACCUGUCCAACAUCCUCUACAUGUCCGGUGAGCCCGACGUCGCCUGCUUCCCGAGGUUCGAGAACCUCCGCGUCGGCAGCGGGUCGGCGGACAUCCUGGACGACGGGUGCGCCACCGGCGGGCAGAUCACCCCGAACUCCAUCCUCGAGGACCCGAUGCACCACUACGGCGGCUCCAGCUACCGCAGCGGCGGUAGCAGCCGGAACGCGCGCGGCUUCGACGCGGCAGCCAGCGUCGACGUCCCCAUCCCCGUCCCGAGGAAGAAGAAGUCGGGGGGCUUCUUCCCCCAGAUCGUCAUGUCCCUCAACAACAGGAGGAAGGGGGCGCCCCACAGGUCUCCGUUCGCCUGA